GGGCCCGCACAAGCGGUGGAGCAUGUGGUUUAAUUCGAUGAUACGCGAGGAACCUUACCAGGGCUUAAAUGUAAGUUGCAUUAGAUAGAGAUAUCUAUUUCUUCGGACCACUUACAAGGUGCUGCAUGGUUGUCGUCAGCUCGUGCCGUGAGGUGUCAGGUUAAGUCCUAUAACGAGCGCAACCCCUGUUGUUAGUUGCCAUCGAGUCAUGUCGGGAACUCUAACAAGACUGCCGGUGCAAACCGUGAGGAAGGUGGGGAUGACGUCAAAUCAUCACGGCCCUUACGUCCUGGCUACACACGUGCUACAAUGGGUAGAACAAUAAGUUGCUAAGUUGCGAAACCAAGCG
RNAcentral lists this ribosomal RNA (349 nucleotides) under uncultured bacterium. RNAcentral's name for it is "bacterial SSU rRNA". It matches the Rfam family "Bacterial small subunit ribosomal RNA", at positions 917 to 1269 of the family's 1533-position model. The record is from RNAcentral.